RNAcentral lists this ribosomal RNA (301 nucleotides) under uncultured bacterium. RNAcentral's name for it is "partial 16S ribosomal RNA". It matches the Rfam family "Bacterial small subunit ribosomal RNA", at positions 509 to 807 of the family's 1533-position model. The record is from RNAcentral.
CAGUAGCCACGGUAAUACAGAGGGUGCGAGCGUUAAUCGGAUUUACUGGGCGUAAAGCGUGCGUAGGCGGCUUCUUAAGUCGUAUGUGAAAUCCCUGAGCUUAACUUAGGAAUUGCAUUCGAUACUGGGAAGCUAGAGUAUGGGAGAGGAUGGUAGAAUUCCAGGUGUAGCGGUGAAAUGCGUAGAGAUCUGGAGGAAUACCGAUGGCGAAGGCAGCCAUCUGGCCUAAUACUGACGCUGAGGUACGAAAGCAUGGGGAGCAAACAGGAUUAGAUACCCCCGUAGUCCCUGUCUCUUAUAC